UUUGUUUCAUACAGUUCAAAAUGUGUAACAGGUAGAAGUGUUUCAGUCAAAAGUACAUUAGUCCACUGUGUUUUACGUUCCGCCCCGGAACCAAUGUUCCCUGUGUAGUACCACUACGACGGAAUUCAUUGAGGGACUGAAACAAUCCAACGUACGUGAAGGAGCAGAUGCCUUUCGCGGGCUCUGUAAAGUGUUUAAAGCUAUGAUUAUCGACGUCUGAAGCUAAAAGCAGACAGUCAAAGAGACUUUCAAAAGGACUUUCAUGGACUCAAGAACCUCUUUUCAUGACAAGCGGCCAACGAGUUUUCACGGCGUGUGCAUGACGUGACUGAGAAGUGAAGCAUCAGAGAAAGACGUGUCCAAGCAAUAAACGCCCGUAUCAAAGAACCGACCUGUGUCUGUGUUGUUGUGAAGAGAGCUACAGUGAAAACUCGCCUGCUCAACACAGGUAGGAGAGACGACACCGCAGCGGGUAACGGCGCGACGGAGAUCCAGCAACAGAUAAGCAAAGCCCAUGGCGCAUUGUUGCCAUAGCAACCUCAAGCAACGGUGAUUAGACUGUGGUGAAAGCGCAGCGUUCCAUGCUGAAGCCAAGAAGUGCUCUACCACAAUCUUCAAGUGAAAGUGGUGUGAGAAGUGGUUCAACUUGGAAACUGCAACUAAGGACUCAUGUCUAUUAACCUUUUACAGUGUGCUUAGCCUAUGUGUUUGGGGAUAAAUCUAAUGUGCUGGUGUUCGUGGUUGUUACAUGUUAUAAGGUUUAAAGGGGAACUCCAUCCCAUAAGUGAGGUUUAACAGUAAUAUGAAUCCAUAAGUAAGUGAAAGUCCUUUGUAAAGAUUAAAGGAAAUAGGACAUUAA
Sebastes umbrosus (honeycomb rockfish) is the source of this 859-nucleotide long non-coding RNA. RefSeq lists it as uncharacterized. The record is from RefSeq and is a predicted model, not a curated record. The transcript has 2 exons. NCBI's taxonomy places the organism in Eukaryota, Metazoa, Chordata, Actinopteri, Perciformes, Sebastidae.